RNAcentral lists this ribosomal RNA (253 nucleotides) under uncultured bacterium. Its description in RNAcentral is "partial 16S ribosomal RNA". It matches the Rfam family "Bacterial small subunit ribosomal RNA", at positions 524 to 776 of the family's 1533-position model. The record is from RNAcentral.
UACAGAGGCCUCGAGCGUUAGGCGGAAUCACUGGGCUUAAAGCGUGUGUAGGCGGACUUCUAAGUACCUUGUGAAAUCCCACGGCUCACCCGUGGAACUGCUUGGUAUACUGGUUGUCUUGAGCCUUCUAGGGGCGAGUGGAACAAAUGGUGGAGCGGUGAAAUGCGUAGAUAUCGGGAGGAACACCAGUGGCGAAGGCGAUCACCUGGGGUUGUUCUGACGCUGAGGAGCGAAAGCUAGGGGAGCAAACGGG